Molecule: unclassified non-coding RNA, 872 nt
Filed under: uncultured Synechococcus sp.
Lineage: Bacteria; Bacillati; Cyanobacteriota; Cyanophyceae; Synechococcales; Synechococcaceae
Description: partial may contain 16S ribosomal RNA, 16S-23S ribosomal RNA intergenic spacer, and 23S ribosomal RNA
Rfam family: tRNA (bases 343-415)
Source: RNAcentral
AAGGUGGGGCUGAUGACUGGGGUGAAGUCGUAACAAGGUAUCCGUACCGGAAGGUGCGGAUGGAUCACCUCCUAACAGGGAGACAACACAAUGAUUUUGAUGCCUGAGUGUUUUUAUUCUUAGGCCGAAAUCCUGUCACCUUAGGUCGAUCGGUACCUCAGCUUUGAAGUUAAGGAUCAGCAGCAAUGUUGAUUGCUUGAUGGAGAUUUUCAGUUCCUAAACUUUGUCUAGGUCACACCCCAAAAGGGAUGAGACUCCUGGGCCAUUAGCUCAGGUGGUUAGAGCGCACCCCUGAUAAGGGUGAGGUCCCUGGUUCAAGUCCAGGAUGGCCCAUUCGGUGUUGGGGGUUUAGCUCAGUUGGUAGAGCGCCUGCUUUGCAAGCAGGAUGUCAGGAGUUCGAGUCUCCUAACCUCCACUGACCGAACUUGAUUCCCAUCUCCAAUCCUUUUGGAGUUGAGCUCGAUUGGAGUGUGAUUUAGAUGUGUCCGCUGGAUGACCCCAGCUUCCUGUCAUUCCAAGUUUUAGGUUGAAGCCUUGAAUUUGGUUGAUAAGAUGCUGGGCUCGAAUCAAGUGAUCAAGCAAUUGAUGAUUUGAUUUGAAGUUCUAGCAGAACCUUGACAACUGCAUAGGUGAGUCUGGAAAAAACAAAGCAUCUUACAGAUGCAUUGUUUUGAAUCUGAUCUUCUGAAAGGGAGAUUUGAUCUAGAACAAUGAAAAUUCUUUUGAGCAAGAGCCGAGACUCUUGAAUGUUCUUUGAUUCGUGUCGAGCGAAUCAGAGUUUGAUCUUGUUUUUAGCAAUAAAAACUUGAGAAUCUGCUUUCAACGGCGGUAAGCGUUCAGGAGGUUAAUUGGUCAAGCUACAAAGGGCUCAC